RNAcentral lists this ribosomal RNA (541 nucleotides) under uncultured Bacteroidota bacterium. RNAcentral's name for it is "bacterial SSU rRNA". It matches the Rfam family "Bacterial small subunit ribosomal RNA", at positions 173 to 715 of the family's 1533-position model. The record is from RNAcentral. Lineage: Bacteria; Pseudomonadati; Bacteroidota.
AUCAUGAGUUCACAUGUCCGCAUGAUUAAAGGUAUUUUCCGGUAGACGAUGGGGAUGCGUUCCAUUAGAUAGUAGGCGGGGUAACGGCCCACCUAGUCAACGAUGGAUAGGGGUUCUGAGAGGAAGGUCCCCCACAUUGGAACUGAGACACGGUCCAAACUCCUACGGGAGGCAGCAGUGAGGAAUAUUGGUCAAUGGGCGAUGGCCUGAACCAGCCAAGUAGCGUGAAGGAUGACUGCCCUAUGGGUUGUAAACUUCUUUUAUAAAGGAAUAAAGUCGGGUAUGCAUACCCGUUUGCAUGUACUUUAUGAAUAAGGAUCGGCUAACUCCGUGCCAGCAGCCGCGGUAAUACGGAGGAUCCGAGCGUUAUCUGGAUUUAUUGGGUUUAAAGGGAGCGUAGAUGGAUGUUUAAGUCAGUUGUGAAAGUUUGCGGCUCAACCGUAAAAUUGCAGUUGAUACUGGAUGUCUUGAGUGCAGUUGAGGCAGGCGGAAUUCGUGGUGUAGCGGUGAAAUGCUUAGAUAUCACGAAGAACUCCGAUUG